UUUCAGGCUCAGGCAGAAUCUGUUCUAGACCUUUCUUCCCUGCUUACUCUCCCUGGACAAUUUCAUGGCUUCCAUUUAUACCUUGAUGACUCCCAAAGCUAAACAUCCACCUCACCCCUCUCUCCUGAGAUCCAGUCCUAGCCCAUGUAGCAAACCUGCUGGAUGUCUCAAACUGUUCUUUUAGCUAUCCUCAAGCUUUCCACAGCAAAAGGAGCUAUAUUCUCUCAUAAUAGUUGUUCAAAGGCUCUCACAUAUAAGACUCUGGUCCCAGACCUUCAUGGCUUUGCCUUCCUUUAACUACAUUGUAUCCUGAGGCCUGGAAUAGGACCAUGAGCUGGGAACGUGUGAUUUUUUUCCAUGGCACUGAUGUUGGUAAUUAUGGGCUUAGACACUUAUUUAAGUAGAUGCUUAUAAAUGUCUAAGCCCGUAAUUACCAACAUCAGUGCCACAAAAUUGAAUCUAAGACACUUAAGUUCAAUUCAAGAAACCUUUCCUAGGCACCCUUUCUGUGCAAGACCUAUGCAUGAUGCUGGGCAGACAGAAGAAUCAGACAUGGCCCCUGAGACUGCCUGAAGGCAGUUGACAUGGACUGGGAUAGCCUUUGAAAUCAUUGUUGAUCACCAGCCUUGGAAUCAGACAAUCCUGGGUUUGAAUCACUGUUAAUAGUUUUGCGGUGUGAGUGAAUUCCUAACUUAUUUAAUUUUGAGUUUCUUCAUCUGUAAAAUGGAGAUAAUGAUAUAUCUGAGUACAGUUACAUGAAGUUUAAAUGGAAAAAAUGCGGGUAGUCUAACAAAUGAUGCCUUUCAUUAUAUUCAGGAAGUAAUUACGAUUCCUUACGAGAUGUCCUCCUGUUUCCUCAGUAUGGAUUAUAUCAAGACCACCUUCUGGUUUAAAGAAGCCUCCUAUGAGUAUAGAGAGUAAAUGGCGAGGAUAAGGAACAUUCCAUAAAACAAAGGGAAAUGGCUAAGGCUGCAUAGAUUCCAAACCACAGCUUUCCCAGCACUGUGUUCAAACCAGCUGACUUAGUUACGAAAUCCUGGAAAACUACCACCUAUUCAUAGUACACCUUGGGUAAAUAAUUUAGGCUCUCUGAACCUAAGGCUCCUAAUCUGUGCAGUGGGAGAGAAGAGUUUGGAAAUAUUCCCACCUCAUAGAAUAAUCAUGAGGAUUACCCAUGAGCAUGUUAUUUUAUGUGUACCUGGCACAGUGUUGUUGGUGUAUGUGAGUUCUCUCUGAUUAUACCUACUCUUCCAAAGAGGAAGGACAAAUGCGUCCCUAGUCAUCAGAGCUGAUGUAACAGAAAGAACAGGGAGAUUGGAGUUGUAAGUUUUGGAUCUAGUCAUUUGUUCAUCAUUCAUUCGCUAAAGACUUAAGCAUCUACUCAGUGCCCAACCCUGUGUUAGGUCUUAUUAGGGAUAUAGAGCAAGUAAUAACACCACUGUCCCCUGUUCUUAUGGAAAUGACACACUCCUGGGGAGGCAAGCACCAGUGGCACAUAAAAUGUAAACUUACUUGAAACUUACAAGAGGGCCAUGUGCUGCUCUGUGUUUGGAUCCAAGUGCAUUAACAACAGUACUUUAGGAGCUAGAAGGGAGAGGUGACUAGGCUUGAGCACCCAGAGAGAGGCCGCUUACUGCAGGAGGAGGGGUACAGAAUGGACUUUACUAAAUGGGAUCAUCUUAUUCCUCCACUAAUUAACGAAGUGGCCUUGGGCAGGUCACUUGACUAAUCAUGGCCUCAGUUUCAUCAUCUCAGAAAAGAAUUUCAGUAUUUUUGUGCACAAUUGUAUAGGGUAGAUUUUGAGAAUCAACUUUAAAAAUGGAUAGAAGAGUACACUGAAAACUUUUUGAAUCCUGUGUAACUGGGGUAAGAACCAUAGGAUGUAAUGACCAGAAGAACUUUCAAGCCCAUUCCUUUAUUUUAUAAAUAGAGAAUCUGAGGCUGAGAAAAUCUGCUGUCUCUACUUAUGGGGGCUCUGGGUCUCAUAUCCUUUAGUCUCCUUAGGGAUCUUCUUUAUCAGUCAUCGCUGUUCAUUCUCAAUCAUUGUCGCGUUAGUUAUGAGCUUACAGUGUUCUGUAAGACAGUAUGAGGAAGUGCUUAGUACAAUGCCUGGCACAUGCUUAAGUGCUCAGAUAGUAACUUAUUAUUGUAAUAAUACAUUUUGAAUCCUUAACGUAGCUUACAGAAUCCUUAAUGGUUUGGCCCCUGCUUACCUCUCCAGCCUUAUUAUUAAACACUCUCAUAAGCACCAUGCCAAGCUUCUUGUAUUCCAAGCCAUUUCAAGCCUGCCUUCCUUCCUGGGUCCCUCUUGGAUUGUGAACUUCCCUUUCUUAUGCUCUUACAGCCCCAUGUGCCCAGUUUUAUCAUAGGAAUGACAUGCUGCAUUAAAAUGUUGGUUUUUGUGUUUACUCCCCUACUGGACUGUAAAUCCCCUGAGGACAAGAACUGUUUCUUCUGUGUGUCUCUGGCCCACAGUAAAUGUACACUAAAUAGGACAGAAGGAAAAAGUGAAGGGAAAUGAUUGGCACAAGGUUACAAUUACUUGUAUUACGAUCCUCAGCAAGACUUGAUAAUUGGGUCCAGAGUAUUGAGGUGAGGUUGGAAAUGGGGAGGUAGGUCCUGGGCUCCUGGAAUGACCUAUGAGGCUGCAUAAGAGAGGGCUGUUUUGGUCCCUGAAGUUGCCUUGCUUUGAUUCCUCUCCAGGGAAGUUCCAGAUGCAGGUCCUACCCCAGUGUGGCCAUGCAGUCCAUGAGGAUGCCCCUGACAAGGUAGCUGAAGCUGUUGCCACUUUCCUGAUCCGGCACAGGUUUGCAGAACCCAUCGGUGGAUUCCAGUGUGUGUUUCCUGGCUGUUAGUGACCUGCUGUCCACCUCUCCUCAACAUCGAGCUCUGUUGUAAAUAUGUCGCACCAGAGGCCACUGUGAUGCCACUGUCUCCUCUCCAUCCCGCCCAGCCAUGUGACACUGGCUCCCUGUAGACGGGCACCCCGAGAUGUACCAACCUUUUCAUGUAUUCUGCCAAAAGCAUUGUUUUCCAGGGCCCUUGACCAACAUUGGCUUCCCCAGUCCAGGGCUCCCCUGCUCCUUUCCCUUCCCUGUACUGGGGUAGCUCCUGCCUGCUCUCCCUGCGUUGCCUAGGGUAAAGCCUCCAGAUUUGCCAUACUGAGCCCCUCUCUUCCUAGCAUCAGGAGAUACAUCUGAGUCCAAAUGUCUUCCCAGGCUCAGGGACCUCCAUCCCUUGAGAUUGUCUUGGCAUGGCCCAGCCCUGCCUUAUGGGAUGGACAAUGCAUGGGGUGGUCUUUAUUUUUCCCUUUCAAAUAAAACACUAGUCGGGUACCAUUUUAUCCCAGUCGUACUCUUCCAGGUUUGGAAGACCCAGAGAGGCCAAGAUCCCAUCCUUAGCCAUAGCGAGCGGUGGUGGUGGAUAGCAUCACAAGAAACCAGCCUGAAAAUCAGGUCCAGCCAGUCCAAGCACAUGGCCUCCCAUCUGGGAGAGCCCACUGUCCCACUCCCACAUGUCUGGGCACCUGCCCUGGGCUGAGGCCAGGCUGCUCCAGGGGCCUCCUGAGCCCUCACCUGCCACAGAGCAACCCAGGUUAAAUACAGCCCAUGCACAAAGCCACAGGCCAAAGCCUAUGGAAUUGUUUUUAAUCAUCAAAUUUAACCAUUUUCAUAACUGGUUCCUGGAGGUGUGCAGUGCCCCCUUGCCUCUUCAAACCUACAGCUUCUCUUUGCCAUUUGUGGAUUUCACAUCACUCCACACAGAAACAUUACAGCCUGGCAUCCCCAGUCUUUGCCUUCUUCCAGCUGCCUCGACACAGCACUGCGGCCUGUCCCUAUUGCCCAGGCACGCCAUUUCCAAGGGCAGGAAGGGGCAGUGUCCUGAAGCCCAUCUUUUCUGUGACUGUCUUAGGUGAUGUGUAGCCCCUCCACCUUUUCACUCAACAACCUCCCACCCCUGUCCUGCUGCAUGGUCCAGAAUCUGGGACCUACUUUGUUUUUUGUUAUUUAUGACCUUGUUUAAAGAAAAUAAAUAUCUCCCAACCUUU
Molecule: small RNA, 4048 nt
Filed under: Pongo abelii (Sumatran orangutan)
Lineage: Eukaryota; Metazoa; Chordata; Mammalia; Primates; Hominidae
Description: retained intron
Source: RNAcentral